UAAUAAAAGCGUUUUAUGGCGCUUUUCAAAUAAAUCCAUAUCCACCUUGUGUGCAAUGUUUUUUUUUAUUAUCAAUAAACACUUUAUAAUCUUGAACCAAUUUUUCUGAAUAUCAGUAUUAUUAUGAAUUAACUUAAUUCAAAAUA
RNAcentral lists this unclassified non-coding RNA (146 nucleotides) under uncultured fungus. Its description in RNAcentral is "sequence contains ITS1". The record is from RNAcentral. Lineage: Eukaryota; Fungi.